CAUCGUUUUUUUUUUCUUUCCUGGUGUAAAAUCCUGUAAAUGUUAAACUUGUAAAUAGUUAAAUAUAAAAUACUUGCGUUCGCUGAUUAUUUAAUUGGAUAUGAAUUGAACAUAUUUGGCAACUUUAGAAGAUGAGCACGUGAUCGGUGGGGGAGGGGAGCAACGGUUAGCGUCUGAUACCAGAGAAAAGUCUCUGUGAAUAAAACGGAUAUUAUCUCAAAUAUAAUCUCGAUUACAGAUUGCAGAUAACGAGGAUAUGAAGAACAUGAAGAUGGACUGGUUUCACAUGCAGAUGUUGCAGCAUCUGCAUCUGAGGUUGAGAAGACACUCAAUCUACCUGCCAAUCCUCAUCUGAUUUUGCUAGGUUAGUGUGUCAUUGCACAUGAUGAAGAAGAAACAUCUACUGAUGGCUGAGAUAUAAAAUUGUUAAC
Long non-coding RNA from Carassius auratus (goldfish), 431 nucleotides. RefSeq lists it as uncharacterized. The record is from RefSeq and is a predicted model, not a curated record. The transcript has 3 exons. NCBI's taxonomy places the organism in Eukaryota, Metazoa, Chordata, Actinopteri, Cypriniformes, Cyprinidae.